CCUACGGGAGGCAGCAGUGGGGGAUAUUGCACAAUGGGGGGAACCCUGAUGCAGCGACGCCGCGUGGGUGAAGGAGUAUUUCGGUAUGUAAAGCCCUAUCGGCAGGGAAGAAGCAAGACGGUACCUGACUAAGAAGCCCCGGCUAACUACGUGCCAGCAGCCGCGGUAAUACGUAGGGGGCGAGCGUUAUCCGGAUUCACUGGGUGUAAAGGGAGCGUAGACGGCCAUGCAAGCCAGGGGUGAAAGCCCGGGGCCCAACCCCGGGACUGCCCUUGGAACUGCAUGGCUGGAGUGCGGGAGGGGCAGGCGGAAGUCCUGGUGUAGCGGUGAAAUGCGUAGAUAUCAGGAGGAACACCGGCGGCGAAGGCGGCCGGCUGGACCGCGACUGACGUUGAGGCUCGAAAGCGUGGGGAGCGAACAGGAUUAGAUACCCCAGUAGUC
This 441-nucleotide ribosomal RNA is filed under the name uncultured bacterium. RNAcentral's name for it is "partial 16S ribosomal RNA". It matches the Rfam family "Bacterial small subunit ribosomal RNA", at positions 338 to 795 of the family's 1533-position model. The record is from RNAcentral.